UACGGGGGGGGCAAGCGUUGUUCGGAAUUACUGGGCGUAAAGGGCUCGUAGGCGGCCAACUAAGUUGGACGUGAAAUCCCUCGGCUUAACCGGGGAACUGCGUCCGAUACUGGAUGGCUUGAGAUUGGGAGAGGGAUGCGGAAUUCCAGGUGUAGCGGUGAAAUGCGUAGAUAUCUGGAGGAACACCGGUGGCGAAGGCGGCAUCCUGGACCAACACUGACGCUGAUGAGCGAAAGCCAGGGGAGCAAACAGG
RNAcentral lists this ribosomal RNA (253 nucleotides) under uncultured bacterium. RNAcentral describes it as "partial 16S ribosomal RNA". It matches the Rfam family "Bacterial small subunit ribosomal RNA", at positions 524 to 776 of the family's 1533-position model. The record is from RNAcentral.